Molecule: small nuclear RNA, 138 nt
Filed under: Pteropus vampyrus (large flying fox)
Lineage: Eukaryota; Metazoa; Chordata; Mammalia; Chiroptera; Pteropodidae
Description: U4 spliceosomal RNA (ENSPVAG00000029636.1)
Rfam family: U4 spliceosomal RNA
About the family: U4 small nuclear RNA (U4 snRNA) is a component of the major U2-dependent spliceosome. The structure of U4 snRNA from yeast and human has been reported. U4 snRNA presents a k-turn RNA motif in the 5p-SL related to recognition of Snu13 protein.
Source: Rfam by way of RNAcentral
AGCUUUGUGCAGUGGCAAUAUCGUAGCCAAUAAGGUUUAUCUGAGGCGCGAUUAUUGCUAAUUGAAAAAAAAAAAAGAACCUAAACAUUGUUUUUCAUCCAAGAAAGAUAUAAAAAUACAUGUUCAUUCUACUAUGAG